AAUUAAUAAUAUGCAGCUUUGCAGUAGUAUCACAUAACCAUUUAGUUCCACUGAUGACAGAAUGCCUUCCCCACUUGUUAACCAUCAAAUCGCUACGGUUAUCAUUUCUAAAAUCAUAUUUAUUGUCAUUGGUUACACAGAAGCCAGCCAAGGGGAAGAAGGGCAGCAACCCUGCUGAAAACGGAGACGCCAAGGCAGACCAGGCACAGAAGGUUGACGCUGCUGGCGAUGCCAAAUGAGAAGCUAACGAGCGUCUGAUCCUUCUAUGUACUUGGUGACUGUACAGUUUGAAAUAACUAUUUUUUACCAAGUUUUAUAUUAAGAAUAACAUUUAUAGUUGACUUGCUUUUUAUGUACUGAUUGAUUUGACAGGAGUUACUAUAUUUCAUUCAUAUCCAUUUGUAUCCCAUUUUUUAAUCAAGCCGUCUAUGUCUUGGCAAAACAGUUUGCCCUUGCUAAAUCUGUUGGCAAAAAGCAAGAAUAUUGUCCUAAACUUUGUUUUUUUGCUUUAUCUAUCUAUCUUUCUUUCUUUCUUGGUCUAUCUUUGGAUUUUAAACACCAAACAUUCUCAAAAGGCAGCUUAAGAGUGUUUGUAAAAUGUUUUCGGAAGGGUUUUCACCAUGUUGUUAGCAUUUAAACGUACAAAUACUGUGUUUUCCGUUUUUAUUUUAAAUUUUUUUUUUUUAAGGAAGUUACAAUGAAAUUGUCACUAGAAAAAGAGAAAAAAGUAAAUAAGGCAACAUUGUCGAAUAAAUUUACAAUGUGGAACCUUCGAUUUCUUUAGAGAUGUGUGUUCUGAGCUUGUCUUGUUUAUUAAGUUAUGUUCUGCAACCGUAGAAGGAUUUUCAGUGACUCUUAAAAUGCUUUGUUUUAAAUGGUUUUGAAUAAAAAAAAAUAAACUGUCCAGAAAAAAAAAUUAA
This is a long non-coding RNA of Cyprinus carpio (common carp), 920 nucleotides long. RefSeq lists it as uncharacterized. The record is from RefSeq and is a predicted model, not a curated record. The transcript is spliced from 2 exons. NCBI's taxonomy places the organism in Eukaryota, Metazoa, Chordata, Actinopteri, Cypriniformes, Cyprinidae.